AAGUCGUAACAAGGUUUCCGUAGGUGAACCUGCGGAAGGAUCAUUAAUGAAAUGAUGAUUUUUUUGGGGUUUCCCAAAAAAUAAUUCACCACUUGUGCAUUGUUAUUAGAUAUACUUUGGUUAGAGCUUUGAUUUCAUUUAUUGGAAUCAACUUCUUGCUGACUCUAUCCUUUCUGAGGACAGUUGGCUAUGAAGCGGCCUACCAAGGUUUUUUAUCAAACACAUUUAAUUCAUCUGACCUAAACUAUUAUAAUAAAAUCAUAACUUUCAACAACGGAUCUCUUGGCUCUC
RNAcentral lists this unclassified non-coding RNA (291 nucleotides) under fungal sp. Its description in RNAcentral is "partial internal transcribed spacer region". The stretch from base 1 to 46 matches the Rfam family "Eukaryotic small subunit ribosomal RNA", at positions 1786 to 1831 of the family's 1831-position model. The record is from RNAcentral. Lineage: Eukaryota; Fungi.